ACAAGCGGUGGAGUAUGUGGUUUAAUUCGAUGCAACGCGAAGAACCUUACCUGGUCUUGACAUCCCAGAAAUCCCUUGGAAACUUGGAGUGCUUCCAUUAGGAAGAAUCUGGAGACAGGUGCUGCAUGGCUGUCGUCAGCUCGUGUCGUGAGAUGUUGGGUUAAGUCCCGCAACGAGCGCAACCCUUGCCCUUAGUUGCCAGUAGUUCGGCUGGGCACUCUAAAGGGACUGCCGGUGUUAAACCGGAGGAAGUGGGGAUGACGUCAAGUCCUCAUGGCCUUUAUGACCAGGGCUACACACGUACUACAAUGGCCGAUACAAAGGGCAGCGACAUCGCGAGGUGAAGCCAAUCCCAUAAAAUCGGUCUCAGUCCGGAUUGGAGUCUGCAACUCGACUCCAUGAAGUUGGAAUCGCUAGUAAUCGUGGAUCAGCAUGCCACGGUGAAUACGUUCCCGGGCCUU
This 461-nucleotide ribosomal RNA is filed under the name uncultured Desulfobulbus sp. Its description in RNAcentral is "bacterial SSU rRNA". It matches the Rfam family "Bacterial small subunit ribosomal RNA", at positions 925 to 1382 of the family's 1533-position model. Lineage: Bacteria; Pseudomonadati; Thermodesulfobacteriota; Desulfobulbia; Desulfobulbales; Desulfobulbaceae. The record is from RNAcentral.